UAAUUAGUGAAUCUAAAAUAAUGUGUAAUACACAUGUGAAUGUAUGUAAUUAUAGGUUAAUAGUGUCAUCGCAUAAAAUUUGUAUUGUCAAAUAAUAAAACACCUGUUUCAUUAUGGACACUGACUCGACGUCGCAACCAUCCUUUUACGAUGAGACUAAAUAUGUUGAAGAACAUACAGCGGAGCUUCAAGAGAAUGUAAAAAUGAAUUUACAGAAUAUACUAACAAAUGCAAAAGACGUAGAUAAAAACUUUAAAAGACUACAAGAAAAGGUUCUUAGAACGGCUAAAAUUAUUGACGCAAUUUCAGUUAAAUCAAAGUUCAAUACAGAAAAUUUACCUUCUGAACACAAUAUCCACUGAUAUAAAAAUCUACAUUAUGUAUAUUAUGUGAAUGAAAUAAAAUUUUUAUACGUUUUUUUUAUAAAAAUACUGUCUUACAUAAUGUAAGACAUACAUACAUACAUACUAUUUGAUACCAAAUAGUUUUCCUUCAAAUAUAUCUGUAUUAAACAAAAUCAAUUAAAUAUUAAACAAAUAAACAUGAAACAAUUUCA
This is a non-coding RNA of Megalopta genalis, 556 nucleotides long. The record is from RefSeq and is a predicted model, not a curated record. Lineage: Eukaryota; Metazoa; Arthropoda; Insecta; Hymenoptera; Halictidae.